UUUUAUAGGGUUAUUUAUUUUUAAGUUAAAAAUUUUAUUAAAAAAAAUAAUUUUAUAUUUUAGUAUUAUUAAAGAAAAAAUUUAUUUAAUUAUAGUUAAUAAGUAUUGUGAAAGAAAAUUUUGUAAAAUAAAACAGAAAAAUUUGUUGUUUGUACCUUGUGUAUCAGGGUUUAUAAAUUAAAAUUUAAUAAAAUUAAAUUUCUCGAAUUUAAAAGAGUUAUAUAAAUAUAUAUUUUUAUUGUAAAAUAAAUAUUUUUAAUAUUUAUAUUGAAGUGAAAUGCUAUUCGAUUUUAAAUAUAUCUAGUUUUUCAAGAAAAAAAUUGAAUUUUAUAUUUAUGUAUAAAUAAAAUUGAUUUUUUAGUUUUAUGGUUGUAAAUAUAAAUAUUUUUAGGGAUGAGCUUAAAAAUAUAAGUAUAAAAUUUCUAUAUUUGUUAAAAUAAAUAGAAUUUAAAGUGUUUAUUUUUAAAAAUGUAUUAUUAUAAGUUUUAUGUGGAAUUAAAUUUAUAUAUUAAUUUAUAUAUUAUAUUGAAAUAUGGGUUUUAAUUAUAAAAAUUGAGUAAUAAUGAUAAAAUUAGUAUUGUUUAUAAUAAAAAGUAGAUAAAGUUUUAAGGUAAAAUAAAGGAAUUCGGCAAAUAUAUUUUUCACCUGUUUAUUAAAAACAUGGCUUUUUGAUUAUAAUUUAAGGUCAGGCCUGCCCAAUGAGUAUUUUAAUGGCCGCAGUAAUUUGACUGUGCGAAGGUAGCAUAAUAAUUAGUUUCUUAAAUGGGAGCUUGUAUGAAAGGUUAAAUGAAAAAGUUACUGUCUCUAUUUUAAUUGAUAAGAAUUUUAUUUUUAAGUAAAAAAGCUUAAAUGUGUAUUAAAGACGAGAAGACCCUAUAGAGUUUUAUAUUUUAUUUGUAUAAGAAAUUUUAGUAUUUAAUUUUUUUAUUUGGAAUUUUAUUUAAUUGGGGUGAUUAAAAAAUUUAAUAAACUUUUUUUUUUAUUAAUUCAUAAAUAAAUGUAAAUUUGAUCCUUUAUGAGAUUAAAAGAUUAAAUUACCUUAGGGAUAACAGCGUAAUUUUUUUUAAGAGUUCGUAUUUAAAAAAAAGGUUGCGACCUCGAUGUUGGAUUAAAAUUAAAUUUUGGUGAAGAAGCUGAAUAUUUUAGGUCUGUUCGACCUUUAAAAUUUUACAUGAUCUGAGUUUAAACCGGUGUAAGCC
Molecule: ribosomal RNA, 1199 nt
Filed under: Lobotrachelus minor
Lineage: Eukaryota; Metazoa; Arthropoda; Insecta; Coleoptera; Curculionidae
Description: partial 16S ribosomal RNA
Source: RNAcentral